RNAcentral lists this ribosomal RNA (435 nucleotides) under Peribacillus simplex. RNAcentral describes it as "bacterial SSU rRNA". It matches the Rfam family "Bacterial small subunit ribosomal RNA", at positions 56 to 475 of the family's 1533-position model. The record is from RNAcentral. Lineage: Bacteria; Bacillati; Bacillota; Bacilli; Caryophanales; Bacillaceae.
UGCAGUCGAGCGAAUCGAUGGGAGCUUGCUCCCUGAGNUUAGCGGCGGACGGGUGAGUAACACGUGGGCAACCUGCCUAUAAGACUGGGAUAACUUCGGGAAACCGGAGCUAAUACCGGAUACGUUCUUUUCUCGCAUGAGAGAAGAUGGAAAGACGGUUUACGCUGUCACUUAUAGAUGGGCCCGCGGCGCAUUAGCUAGUUGGUGAGGUAAUGGCUCACCAAGGCGACGAUGCGUAGCCNACCUGAGAGGGUGAUCGGCCACACUGGGACUGAGACACGGCCCAGACUCCUACGGGAGGCAGCAGUAGGGAAUCUUCCGCAAUGGACGAAAGUCUGACGGAGCAACGCCGCGUGAACGAAGAAGGCCUUCGGGUCGUAAAGUUCUGUUGUUAGGGAAGAACAAGUACCAGAGUAACUGCUGGUACCUUGACGG